GUGGUAUCCUGUCUGAAUAUGGGGGGACCAUCCUCCAAGGCUAAAUACUCCUGACUGACCGAUAGUGAACCAGUACCGUGAGGGAAAGGCGAAAAGAACCCCGGCGAGGGGAGUGAAAAAGAACCUGAAACCGUGUACGUACAAGCAGUGGGAGCCCCACCACUAAGCCAGUGGUGAACUCCACAUCCGCAUCCUUUGCUGAGGAUACGGUUAACGGAGCGAAAGCGACGUUCAACCGCAAAACAAGCAGAGGGGGCUUAGUGGUGGGGUGACUGCGUACCUUUUGUAUAAUGGGUCAGCGACUUAUAUUCUGUAGCAAGGUUAACCGAAUAGGGGAGCCGGAGGGAAACCGAGUCUUAAUUGGGCGUUAAGUUGCAGGGUAUAGACCCGAAACCCGGUGAUCUAGCCAUGGGCAGGUUGAAGGUUGGGUAACACUAACUGGAGGACCGAACCGACUAAUGUUGAAAAAUUAGCGGAUGACCUGUGGCUGGGGGUGAAAGGCCAAUCAAACCGGGAGAUAGCUGGUUCUCCCCGAAAGCUAUUUAGGUAGCGCCUCGUGAAUUCAUCUCCGGGGGUAGAGCACUGUUUCGGCUAGGGGGCCAUCCCGGCUUACCAACCCGAUGCAAACUGCGAAUACCGGAGAAUGUUAUCACGGGAGACACACGGCGGGUGCUAACGUCCGUCGUGAAGAGGGAAACAACCCAGACCGCCAGCUAAGGUCCCAAAGUCAUGGUUAAGUGGGAAACGAUGUGGGAAGGCCCAGACAGCCAGGAUGUUGGCUUAGAAGCAGCCAUCAUUUAAAGAAAGCGUAAUAGCUCACUGGUCGAGUCGGCCUGCGCGGAAGAUGUAACGGGGCUAAACCAUGCACCGAAGCUGCGGCAGCGAACGUAUCACCCAAGACAACUUUACGGAGUUGACGAUUGACGGAGCGAAGCGACGUCAAAGCGUUCAUUAAAGUCGAGUUGGCUUAGGGAUACGUUCGUUGGGUAGGGGAGCGUUCUGUAAGCCUGUGAAGGUGUGUCGUGAGGCAUGCUGGAGGUAUCAGAAGUGCGAAUGCUGACAUAAGUAACGAUAAAGCGGGUGAAAAGCCCGCUCGCCGGAAGACCAAGGGUUCCUGUCCAACGUUAAUCGGGGCAGGGUGAGUCGACCCCUAAGGCGAGGCCGAAAGGCGUAGUCGAUGGGAAACGGGUUAAUAUUCCCGUACUUGGUGUUACUGCGAAGGGGGGACGGAGAAGGCUAUGUUGGCCGGGCGACGGUUGUCCCGGUUUAAGCGUGUAGGUGUGUGUUCCAGGUAAAUCCGGUUCACUUUAACACUGAGGCGUGACGACGAGGCACUACGGUGCUGAAGCAACAAAUGCCCUGCUUCCAGGAAAAGCCUCUAAGCAUCAGGUAACACGAAAUCGUACCCCAAACCGACACAGGUG
This 1424-nucleotide ribosomal RNA is filed under the name Salmonella enterica subsp. enterica serovar Typhimurium. RNAcentral describes it as "partial 23S ribosomal RNA". It matches the Rfam family "Bacterial large subunit ribosomal RNA", at positions 426 to 1665 of the family's 2925-position model. The record is from RNAcentral. Lineage: Bacteria; Pseudomonadati; Pseudomonadota; Gammaproteobacteria; Enterobacterales; Enterobacteriaceae.